Molecule: ribosomal RNA, 446 nt
Filed under: uncultured bacterium
Lineage: Bacteria
Description: partial 16S ribosomal RNA
Rfam family: Bacterial small subunit ribosomal RNA
Source: RNAcentral
CGCCCAGACUCCUACGGGAGGCAGCAGUGGGGAAUAUUGCACAAUGGGGGAAACCCUGAUGCAGCGACGCCGCGUGAGUGAAGAAGCGCCUCGGCGCGUAAAGCUCUGUCAGCAGGAACGAUAAUGACGGUACCUGAAGAAGAAGCCCCGGCUAACUACGUGCCAGCAGCCGCGGUAAUACGUAGGGGGCAAGCGUUAUCCGGAUUUAUUGGGUUUAAAGGGUGCGCAGGCGGCACGGCAAGCCGGCGGUCAAAUCGGGGGGCUCAACCCGGCCGAGCCGUCGGAACUGCCGGGCUAGAGUGGGCGAGAAGUGCGCGGAAUGCGUGGUGUAGCGGUGAAAUGCAUAGAUAUCACGCAGAACUCCGAUUGCGAAGGCAGCGCACCGGCGCCCUACUGACGCUCAGGCACGAAAGCGUGGGUAUCGAACAGGAUUAGAUACCCUAGUA